GAUGAACGCUAGCGGGAGGCCUAACACAUGCAAGCCGAGCGGUAGAGAUUCUUCGGAAUCUUGAGAGCGGCGUACGGGUGCGGAACACGUGUGCAACCUGCCUUUAUCAGGGGGAUAGCCUUUCGAAAGGAAGAUUAAUACCCCAUAAUAUAUUUGAUGGCAUCAUUAGAUAUUGAAAGCUUUGGCGGAUAGAGAUGGGCACGCGCAAGAUUAGAUAGUUGGUGAGGUAACGGCUCACCAAGUCGAUGAUCUUUAGGGGCCUGAGAGGGUGAUCCCCCACACUGGUACUGAGACACGGACCAGACUCCUACGGGAGGCAGCAGUGAGGAAUAUUGGACAAUGGGUUAGCGCCUGAUCCAGCCAUCCCGCGUGAAGGACGACGGCCCUAUGGGUUGUAAACUUCUUUUGUACAGGGAUAAACCUACUCUCGUGAGAGUAGCUGAAGGUACUGUACGAAUAAGCACCGGCUAACUCCGUG
This 478-nucleotide ribosomal RNA is filed under the name uncultured bacterium. RNAcentral describes it as "partial 16S ribosomal RNA". It matches the Rfam family "Bacterial small subunit ribosomal RNA", at positions 28 to 507 of the family's 1533-position model. The record is from RNAcentral.